Molecule: unclassified non-coding RNA, 899 nt
Filed under: Hevea brasiliensis (rubber tree)
Lineage: Eukaryota; Viridiplantae; Streptophyta; Magnoliopsida; Malpighiales; Euphorbiaceae
Source: RNAcentral
GGAAAAUAACGUACCAUAUCUUGGAAUCUGUUUAGGGAUGCAGAUUUCUGUAAUCGAGUUUGCCAGAUCUGUUUUGGGUUUGGAGAAAGCAAAUAGUGAAGAGUUUGACUCCCAGACGCCGGACCUUGUUGUAAUUUUCAUGCCUGAGGGGUCAAAAACACAUAUGGGAAGCACUAUGAGGCUUGGAUCUAGGAAAACACUCUUCCGGACUCCUGAUUGUAUCAUGUCAAAGUUGUAUAACAAUUCUAAGCAUGUGGAUGAAAGACAUCGCCAUAGAUAUGAGGUCAAUCCUGAAGUUGUAGGCAUUUUAGAAGAAGCUGGCCUUACAUUUGUGGGAAGAGAUGAAACUGGAAAACGAAUGGAGAUAUUGGAGCUUCCUGGUCACCCAUUUUAUGUUGGUGUGCAAUUCCAUCCUGAAUACAAGUCAAGGCCAGGGAGGCCUUCAGCUCCUUUUCUAGGUCUUAUCAUGGCAGCAACAGGACAGUUAGAAGCUUACGUCAGGAGUCAGCAGAAUGGAAGCAUAUAGGCAAAACAUCAGCGCUAACUAGUUGGAUAACUUUUUGCUCACAAGGUAAUCUGAUUUUGUGGUGUGAACCUCCCCGUUCUCUUAAGCUUGUCGUGAGAUUAAUGUGGAUGCACAUUUUUUGUUCUGCCUGUCGACACAAAGCCCCCUCAAGUAUGAAGCUGCGUGCUAUGGCUGUCAAUCAUUUGGAAGUGGCUUAGCUGAUACCCAUCUUCUUGUUAUUCGCCAACCUUGUUGACGAUAGAUAAUUUUGAAGAUAUAGUUUGAGUGCUUUAGUUCUCUACUGCAUUUGGGUUGUCACCUCAUUUUUGUUCUUUUUUCCCCCCUUCAAAAUUAAGAAUUGUUUAGAGGUUGGCAGUGCUUUAUACAUUUACUG